RNAcentral lists this ribosomal RNA (503 nucleotides) under uncultured Leptospirillum sp. Its description in RNAcentral is "bacterial SSU rRNA". It matches the Rfam family "Bacterial small subunit ribosomal RNA", at positions 1 to 480 of the family's 1533-position model. Lineage: Bacteria; Pseudomonadati; Nitrospirota; Nitrospiria; Nitrospirales; Nitrospiraceae. The record is from RNAcentral.
UAGUGAUUUAGAGUUUGAUUCAUGGCUCAGAACGAAUCUCUGGCGGCGUGCCUAACACAUGCAAGUCCGACGUGAAAGGGGAGCAAUCCCCCGGUAGGGUGGCAAACGGGUGAGUAAUACAUGGGUGAUCUACCUUAGGGAUGGGGAUAUCCUUCCGAAAGGAGGGGCAAUACCGAAUAUUGUCCGGAGCCGUGAAGGGUUCCGGGGAAAGGGAGGCCUCUGAUACAAGCUUUCGCCUUAAGAUGAGCCCAUGGCCCAUCAGCUAGUUGGUAGGGUAAAGGCCUACUAAGGCUACGACGGGUCGCUGGUCUGAGAGGACGACCAGCCACACUGGCACUGAGAUACGGGCCAGACUCCUACGGGAGGCAGCAGUGAGGAAUAUUGCGCAAUGGGGGAAACCCUGACGCAGCAACGCCGCGUGUGGGAAGAAGGCCUUCGGGUCGUAAAACACUUUUGCACGGGACGAAAAAGGGAUAUCGAACAAAUAUCCCCGAUGCGGACCG